Saccostrea cuccullata (small rock oyster) is the source of this 310-nucleotide long non-coding RNA. RefSeq lists it as uncharacterized. Lineage: Eukaryota; Metazoa; Mollusca; Bivalvia; Ostreida; Ostreidae. The record is from RefSeq and is a predicted model, not a curated record. The transcript has 3 exons.
AGCGCUUGAGAAUUCAUGUAAUAACAGUAUGGUCCUAUGGGUUUCAGUACCAAAACUGAUUUUCUACCGUUUUUCUUCCAAGAAAGUUCUGAACAGCUGAAUCCUGGAUCAGCCUAGAUGUUAUUUCACUGGAUUAUUUAAUGAAUAAUACUCUACUGAGUUACCUGGUUACAUGGAUCAGCUAAGAUGUUGUUUCACUGGAUUAUUUAAUUGGGCAUAUAAUUGGAUAAUUCUGUCCUCAACCUGGAAGAUAUGUUUUAUUCCUAACCAUCUAUAAUCCAUUCUCUAUGAAGUUCAGCCUGUCUGCCCA